RNAcentral lists this ribosomal RNA (329 nucleotides) under Leotiomycetes sp. LF826. RNAcentral's name for it is "SSU rRNA". It matches the Rfam family "Eukaryotic small subunit ribosomal RNA", at positions 594 to 928 of the family's 1831-position model. Lineage: Eukaryota; Fungi; Ascomycota; Leotiomycetes. The record is from RNAcentral.
AUAGCGUAUAUUAAAGUUGUUGCAGUUAAAAAGCUCGUAGUUGAACCUUGGGCCUGGCUGGCCGGUCCGCCUCACCGCGUGCACUGGUCCGGCCGGGCCUUUCCUCCUGGGGAGCCGCAUGCCCUUCACUGGGUGUGUCGGGGAACCAGGACUUUUACUUUGAAAAAAUUAGAGUGUUCAAAGCAGGCCUAUGCUCGAAUACAUUAGCAUGGAAUAAUAGAAUAGGACGUGUGGUUCUAUUUUGUUGGUUUCUAGGACCGCCGUAAUGAUUAAUAGGGAUAGUCGGGGGCAUCAGUAUUCAAUUGUCAGAGGUGAAAUUCUUGGACCGC